This 498-nucleotide ribosomal RNA is filed under the name uncultured bacterium. RNAcentral's name for it is "bacterial SSU rRNA". It matches the Rfam family "Bacterial small subunit ribosomal RNA", at positions 38 to 524 of the family's 1533-position model. The record is from RNAcentral.
UUAAUAACAGGCGGCGGCCUACANAUGCAAGUCGACUGGAUGAAGAGAGCUUGCUCUCUGAUUCAGCGGCGGACGGGUGAGUAAUGCCUAGGAAUCUGCCUGGUAGUGGGGGACAACGUCUCGAAAGGGACGCUAAUACCGCAUACGUCCUACGGGAGAAAGCAGGGGACCCUCGGGCCUUGCGCUAUCAGAUGAGCCUAGGUCGGAUUAGCUAGUUGGUGAGGUAAUGGCUCACCAAGGCGACGAUCCGUAACUGGUCUGAGAGGAUGAUCAGUCACACUGGAACUGAGACACGGGCCAGACUCCUACGGGAGGCAGCAGUGGGGAAUAUUGGACAAUGGGCGAAAGCCUGAUCCAGCCAUGCCGCGUGUGUGAAGAAGGUCUUCGGAUUGUAAAGCACUUUAAGUUGGGAGGAAGGGCAGUAAGCGAAUACCUUGCUGUUUUGACGUUACCGACAGAAUAAGCACCGGCUAACUCUGUGCCAGCAGCCGCGGUAAU